AAGAAUAAGGGGGAAACAGGGGAGGGGUUCGCGGAAGCAGAUUGAGGGAGGAGGAAAGGCGGCGCGGUGGACGUCACUGCCACCGUCGCCGCCGCUGCUGACAAGGAGGGGAGAGAUCUGUGAGGGCCGAGGAAGGAGAAGGAGGAGAAGGCUGAGCUGCCACCGUCGACCUCGUCGUAGCCCACUCCUGCCAGAACUCACGCUGCCGCCUUGUCGUCGCGGAGGAGGGAACCCAGAACAGAGAAGCGCACGAAGAAGAGGAGCUGGCGGCUAGCCUUAUCGCCACCACUGCUUCCGUGUCUUCCAACGGCGCUGCUAUCGACGUCGUGAAUCACGGCCAGAGGUGGGAGUUGCACAACAGAGAGAUGGAGAGCACGACAGGGGAGACCAUCGCCGCCUGGGUCAACGUCGUCGGGCCUCCUUGCCGUCGCCACAGAAGCUGCCUUCACCGGUGCAGUUGGAGGCGCGAACGGAGGAAGAAUGCGCAUGGGGGUUGCUGUGUCACCAUCCGAGUUUGCUGCUGCCACCGCCUCUACGUUCUGCUAUUACUGUCUAAUUGAUUUUAAGAAAAAUUGCUGAUAUUUCUGGAAUCUCAAAUCGGAGAGGAGAUGAGGCGUUUAACCUUGUCACGGUUGCUGCCAUGGGAAUAGGUCCUGGAAACAACUAACAGAGCAGGCUGAGUCACAGUGAUUCUGGCUGCCGAGAACGGUUCUGUGGCUGUCGGGACCACUAUUGAAGCUUCUGUCCUUGGGUUCAGUCAGUAUCCCUUAGUACAGAUUAAGUUAUCGGAGCCACAUGUGCGCGUAAGGGUUGUAUUUGCUGCUGCAAAAGUGAACAAAGUUGUUAUGCAGGCUGUCGGUAACUUCGGGUUGAUAGAGGUUUCCGGUGACGCGUUUGGGUUAUGGUUUGCGUUUUGAGAUAGGGGCGCUUUCCAAAAACUAUGUUUUAUGUAUUGGAAUUAUUACAUAUAGAUACUGAUGUGAGACAUUCUGUAUUUGGUGAUUGUAUCUGCCUUAUGUAUUAUUUGAUUGUCUCGAAUGGUUAUGGAUGUUUGUUUGGCUGAAUUGUUGUGCAACUUUGUGAAAUGUAACGUUUUGAAGUUGAUUCUUUAAAGAUUUGAAAUCUGAGUUUGAUCCGUUGAGGAUUGAUUUGAAUUGAGUUAA
Long non-coding RNA from Arachis duranensis, 1163 nucleotides. RefSeq lists it as uncharacterized. The transcript has 3 exons. The record is from RefSeq and is a predicted model, not a curated record. Lineage: Eukaryota; Viridiplantae; Streptophyta; Magnoliopsida; Fabales; Fabaceae.